Long non-coding RNA from Ooceraea biroi (clonal raider ant), 2471 nucleotides. RefSeq lists it as uncharacterized. NCBI's taxonomy places the organism in Eukaryota, Metazoa, Arthropoda, Insecta, Hymenoptera, Formicidae. The record is from RefSeq and is a predicted model, not a curated record.
AGGAUCAACCAGAGCAACAAUGACGGUAUCGGACAGCGCAGUAUAUAGCAGCAUUUUAAUUAGGACUUACUGGCACAGAGGGUGGAGGUGGCCUCGUCAGAUCCGUCACCACAGUGAUUCACGCCGUCGCAAAGGAGAUCCGUCUCGAUGCAGAAUUCAUUCUGAGUGCACCGAAAAUCCUUGCAGGAAACAACGUCGCGCUCUACUGAUAAACCGCCGCUCAUCAGCCUGCGAUCAGCGAAGCAGUCACUUGGGACAAUGCGUCCGCUCGCGUCACGUCGAAUCGAUCCUGCGAUUUUCGAUCCGUUUCCCAGUGGAUCGCGCUGCACGUAAUGUCACCGCAAAAGUUUCGAAUUUCACGUGAAGUCGCGUGCGAAACGAGCCAGGACGAGAGGUCGAGGGAUGGAGAAAGGAAACGACGGGGUGCGAAGGUGGAAAAAGGAGAGAAUGCAGCGGAAGAAGAGGAGCGAAAAAAGGGUGAGAAGGAAGGAAGAUAGAGAGAGACGAACGACGUCAAGAGGGAAGGAGACCCUUUGGUCACGAUGGUGCGCGGCGGCCCUACAAUCCUCCGGCAACCACCCCUUCUCGUGUGCCACCAUCCAAUGCGACCCUCCCUCUUGUACUCUCGCUCUCCAACCCCUUUUUCCCUCCCUCUCUCUCUCUCUCUGUCUCUCUCUGUCUCUCUCUGUCUCUCUCUCUCUCGUUCCCUCUCUCUCUCUCGUUCCCUCUCUCCGUAGCUGUUUCUGUCUUUCUCUCUCUCCCUCCUGGCACGAUGUAAGCCCGCUCCGCGCGAUCAAUAUUACUCUCUUCGAGCGCACACCACGGCUCGUCUGAGCGCCAACCGAGCGCUAUCAUAUUAAGUUCCGAGCACUUUGCUCCGAGCACUUGGAGGAGCUCCGGCACAUCGCGAAAGUUUUCUCGCGCGAGGGAACGCCGAGAGCGUGCGAUAUUAUCUCUGUAUCUCUCCCCGGUGACACGGUGGUCUCUCGCGCAUUGCUGUUUUUACGGUACCGUCUGUUUUGCCUUUUAGGCACACGCGGACGGUACAUUUUUACGUAUGCCCGAUCAAUUCCGUGUCGCCGGGUGCAGCAACAUCGCUCAUCGUCGGAAAAACUGUGUGCAGUCUUGCCUUCCGCGAGAACGGCACUCCCGCGUUGCGGAUUAGCGUGAGCUUUUAGCUCGAACGCGCUCGCGAAUGGCAAUUUUCGCUGUCGAUUUACGAAUUUCGAGAAAAACGUUUUGUCGGAUGCAGCACUCUCACGUAUGCAGACCAUUUUCGAAGAUCGUGACAGGUUAAAAAAGUUAUUUUUCGAUAAAUUGAUGGAAGGAUCCAAAAAACACGCUUAGUUAUUGCAUCAAAGCGCAUGUUAAACCCACGCAUAAAUACCAACACGUGUAUCGUCCUCUUCGACGUCGCAUCAACGGAGACUGAAUGGCAUUGUGUUGGCCGCGUUCACCGUGGCGCAAAGUUACCCUGCAUUGUUCUUGCCAGUCUAAUAAAUCUAAGCCCGUCUUAUGGUGAGCGUUUCUCCGCGCUCUUGCUCGCGUUGGCGCCGAAGAAGCGUUGUGCGAUUGUACGCGUUUUGUUGCGAGAGUUUCCCUCGUCACGAUACGUUUCUCUCUCGAUCGAUUUUAUCCGGCUGGGAAAUAAAAGGCGACUCAAGAAACAAUGUUAUCGGCGCAGAUGCUCUUAAAAAGUUUACCUGGGCGCUGCGACCGAGCGUGCGUUCUUUCGCCCCUAUCGUGUCCCAAAGUCAUCGACCUGAUACGCCACACACACCGAAGGAAAAUUUGAUAAUAUCAACGUAAAUAUACACGCGGAUGCCCAAACUCGGUGUCGAAUUCGAAAUUUAUCCGCAAUCGGGAAUAGUCGUGCGUUCCGAUGUGUUUUACCAAUAUUUCAACGUCGUUUGCGAGGCGCAUUCAUCGCGAGCGUGAUCGUAAAUCCGCACGCGUCGUGGAUUGGUCCCCGUGCCGAUUCGAUCAAACAUUUUAUCGACUAUGAAAUGUUCAAAUCUCGGUCGUGAUGCGACGCUGGAAUUCGCUUCUAAUGAAAUCGCGGGGAACAGGAAGGCGAGGAUAGGUUGACGAUCGUAAAAAUUCUUCGUCGAGUGCCAUGAAAUUAUGCACCGGCACAAUAGCGCCCACUAAAAAGGGAAGCGAUAUUCGUGUUUUGAAUACGAGAGAGCUCGGGGUCGCAGUUCCGCCCGUAAAAAUUCGCGACCCAGUAGUCGUAGAAACGACACUUAAUCCACGUCAUCAAGUCCAAAGUAUCGACGUUUCGAAAAGUGCUCUCGACCCGCCAGACUUCGCGAGAUAUAAACUUGUACACGAAAAACCGCGGUGGCGUUUAAUUUAAGCGUGUCUUACUUGGAAACUUGGAAUUAGUGGAAAUGGUCUCUAAUUUCCUCAUACAACAGAAAUUCCUUAAUAAUGAAAACUAAAACAGCAAAUUUCCUGCAUUCCAAAAA